RNAcentral lists this ribosomal RNA (743 nucleotides) under uncultured bacterium. RNAcentral's name for it is "bacterial SSU rRNA". It matches the Rfam family "Bacterial small subunit ribosomal RNA", at positions 94 to 823 of the family's 1533-position model. The record is from RNAcentral.
AGCGGCGGAUGGGUGAGUAACACGUGGGGAACCUGCCCCUAAGUCUGGGAUACCAUUUGGAAACAGGUGCUAAUACCGGAUAAUAAAGCAGAUCGCAUGAUCAGCUUUUGAAAGGCGGCGUAAGCUGUCGCUAAGGGAUGGCCCCGCGGUGCAUUAGCUAGUUGGUAAGGUAACGGCUUACCAAGGCGACGAUGCAUAGCCGAGUUGAGAGACUGAUCGGCCACAUUGGGACUGAGACACGGCCCAAACUCCUACGGGAGGCAGCAGUAGGGAGUCUUCCACAAUGGACGCAAGUCUGAUGGAGCAGCGCCGCGUGAGUGAAGAAGGUUUUCGGAUCGUAAAGCUCUGUUGUUGGUGAAGAAGGAUAGAGGUAGUAACUGGCCUUUAUUUGACGGUAAUCAACCAGAAAGUCACGGCUAACUACGUGCCAGCAGCCGCGGUAAUACGUAGGUGGCAAGCGUUGUCCGGAUUUAUUGGGCGUAAAGCGAGCGCAGGCGGAAAAAUAAGUCUAAUGUGAAAGCCCUCGGCUUAACCGAGAAACUGCAUCGGAAACUGUUUUUCUUGAGUGCAGAAGAGGAGAGUGGAACUCCAUGUGUAGCGGUGGAAUGCGUAGAUAUAUGGAAGAACACCAGUGGCGAAGGCGGCUCUCUGGUCUGCAACUGACGCUGAGGCUCGAAAGCAUGGGUAGCGAACAGGGUUAGAUACCCUGGUAGUCCAUGCCGUAAACGAUGAGUGCUAAGUGU